Penaeus monodon (black tiger shrimp) is the source of this 152-nucleotide long non-coding RNA. RefSeq lists it as uncharacterized. The record is from RefSeq and is a predicted model, not a curated record. NCBI's taxonomy places the organism in Eukaryota, Metazoa, Arthropoda, Malacostraca, Decapoda, Penaeidae. The transcript has 3 exons.
UUUAUUAGAUACAAAUAUAUCAUAUCUGAAAAUUGAAAUGUGUUAAUAACAUCAUAGAAUAUAAUCUUUACCAGAGAUAUCCUGCGAAAUACCUUUCUGAGGGAAUACAUGAAAUGGAUUACACAUUUAUUGCUUAUUGAGUGAAAAUCAAC